RNAcentral lists this ribosomal RNA (379 nucleotides) under uncultured cyanobacterium. RNAcentral describes it as "bacterial SSU rRNA". It matches the Rfam family "Bacterial small subunit ribosomal RNA", at positions 376 to 770 of the family's 1533-position model. The record is from RNAcentral. Lineage: Bacteria; Bacillati; Cyanobacteriota.
GGCAACCCUGACGGAGCAACGCCGCGUGGGGGAGGAAUGUCUGUGGAUUGUAAACCCCUUUUCUCAGGGAAGAAGUUCUGACGGUACCUGAGGAAUCAGCAUCGGCUAACUCCGUGCCAGCAGCCGCGGUAAGACGGAGGAUGCAAGCGUUAUCCGGAAUUAUUGGGCGUAAAGCGUCCGUAGGUGGUUAUUCAAGUCUGCUGUCAAAGCGUGGGGCUUAACUCCAUAGAGGCAGUGGAAACUGAGUGACUAGAGUGCGGUAGGGGUCGAGGGAAUUCCCAGUGUAGCGGUGAAAUGCGUAGAUAUUGGGAAGAACACCAGUGGCGAAAGCGCUCGACUGGGCCUGCACUGACACUGAGGGACGAAAGCUAGGGGAGCG